GGUUCAUUCAAAUUUCUUCCCUAUCAACUUUCGACGGCUGGGUCUUGGCCAGCCAUGGUGACAACGGGUAACGGAGGGUUAGGGCUCGACCCCGGAGAAGGAGCCUGAGAAACGGUACUACAUCCAAGGAAGGCAGCAGGCGCGCAAAUUACCCAAUCCCGACCGGGGAAGGUAGUGACAAUAAAUACUGGAACAGGGCUCUUUUGGGUCUUGUAAUUGGAAUGAGUACAAUUUAAAUCCCUUAACGAGGAACAAUUGGAGGGCAAGUCUGGUGCCAGCAGCCGCGGUAAUUUCAGCUCCAAUAGCGUAUAUUAAAGUUGUCGAGGUUAAAAAGCUCGUAGUUG
RNAcentral lists this ribosomal RNA (344 nucleotides) under uncultured fungus. RNAcentral describes it as "SSU rRNA". It matches the Rfam family "Eukaryotic small subunit ribosomal RNA", at positions 292 to 636 of the family's 1831-position model. Lineage: Eukaryota; Fungi. The record is from RNAcentral.